This 209-nucleotide ribosomal RNA is filed under the name uncultured bacterium. Its description in RNAcentral is "partial 16S ribosomal RNA". It matches the Rfam family "Bacterial small subunit ribosomal RNA", at positions 1284 to 1500 of the family's 1533-position model. The record is from RNAcentral.
UGUCUCAGUUCGGAUUGGAGUCUGCAACCCGACUCCAUGAAGCUGGAUUCGCUAGUAAUCGCGCAUCAGCCACGGCGCGGUGAAUACGUUCCCGGGCCUUGUACACACCGCCCGUCAAGCCAUGGAAGCCGGGGGUGCCUGAAGUGCGCUGCCGCAAGGAGCGCCCUAGGGUAAAACCGGUGACUGGGGCUAAGUCGUAACAAGGUAUC